This is an RNA transcript of Zalophus californianus (California sea lion), 4693 nucleotides long. It is a transcript of the gene named STIM activating enhancer, with no coding region annotated. Lineage: Eukaryota; Metazoa; Chordata; Mammalia; Carnivora; Otariidae. The record is from RefSeq and is a predicted model, not a curated record. The transcript has 9 exons.
UGGCUUGGACUCCCGGCCCGGAGCUCGGCGGCGCGGGACCCCGCAGGCAGCGAGGGCGGGCGGGCGGACGGGCGGGCUGGCCGGCCGCGGCCCCUGGCGCCCCUCCGCCAGGCCCGCCAUGCAGGGCCCCGCCGGGAACGCGAGCCGCGGGCUCCCGGGCGGGCCGCCCUCCACCGUCGCGUCCGGGGCGGGCCGCUGCGAGAGCGGCGCGCUCAUGCACAGUUUCGGCAUCUUCCUGCAGGGGCUGCUCGGCGUCGUGGCCUUCAGCACGUUGAUGCUCAAGCGCUUCAGAGAACCAAAGCACGAGAGACGGCCGUGGAGGAUAUGGUUUUUAGACACUUCCAAACAAGCCAUAGGAAUGCUGUUCAUCCACUUUGCAAAUGUGUACCUAGCAGAUCUCACUGAAGAGGACCCUUGUUCACUGUACCUCAUCAACUUCCUCCUGGACGCCACCGUGGGCAUGCUGCUCAUCUACGUGGGGGUGCGUGCCGUCAGCGUCUUGGUGGAGUGGCAGCAGUGGGAGUCCCUGCGAUUUGGCGAAUAUGGAGACCCUCUGCAGUGCGGAGCCUGGGUUGGGCAGUGUGCUCUUUACAUCGUGAUCAUGAUUUUUGAAAAGUCUGUCGUCUUCAUCGUCCUCCUCAUACUUCAAUGGAAAAAGGUGGCCCUAUUGAAUCCCAUUGAAAACCCAGACCUGAAACUGGCCAUCGUCAUGCUGAUCGUCCCCUUCUUUGUCAAUGCUUUGAUGUUUUGGGUAGUGGACAAUUUCCUCAUGAGAAAGGGGAGGACGAAAGCUAAACUAGAAGAAAGGGGAGCCAACCAGGACUCGAGGGACGGGAGCAAGGUCCGCUACCGAAGGGCUGCGUCCCACGAAGAGUCAGAGUCCGAGGGCACCUUCCAGGACCUGGGACGGCCUGUGUCCAGAUUGGGCUUCUUUGCCAGGAUGACCUUAGGGUGGGGGUCCUUGCCGAGUUUGCUCUGACCGGGGUUCCGUCCCAGCUGGAGGUUGGCUGCAGAAGCGAGGGGCGGCCAUGUCCGCUCGGCGCUGGCUUCAGGAGCCCGUGAAUACACUGGGAAUCCUGAUCUCCGCCGACGACGAGAUGGAGGAGUCUGACGUGGAGGAGGACCUGCGCCGACUGACCCCCCUGAAGCCUGCGAAGAAAAAGAAGCACCGCUUCGGGCUGCCUGUCUGACGCGCUCCUGUGCUGGGGUCAGGUGUGGGGGCCCCGCCAGGUCAGCAGGCGGUCGCUCCGCAGUGCCCUUCCUUCCUUCCUCUCUGCCCCGCCUCUUCUACCUCCAGUCCCCUCGCUGUCCCCACCCGCUCCCAGACCGCUGUCACUUACCAGAGGGGGGCCGGGCCAGCGCCGAGGGGCCCCAGGCAGCCGGAGGUCCCCAUCAGUUGCACUACAAACACUGACCAAAUAUGCAAGCGAGGCGUUUUGUGUGUCUGUCAUUGUCCCAAACAGUGUUGCCAGGGACCCCGAAGCCCCGUCCUGUGUCUGGCUGGGUGGCCUUGAGGAGGAAAACUGACACGCACACAGACUGGGUAGAGCCUUUCCCCAAGGCUCUGGGAGCGUGAGGACGUAACACGUUUUGGGCUAAAAGUCACUCAUUGACCAAGUUGGAACCGCAAUGCUUUCUUACUCCAAAUGGCUUUGUAACUACUGAUUUCUAAAGCCGGUUUUAUGAGCUGUCACAGUGUUAAUGUUUUUUGAGUAUGUGUUUAUUUCCUAAGGGACUAAUGAGCAAAACAUAGAUUUUUAAGUCUUCCGUAUGCUGUUGACUUUUAUAUUUUUAAGUUAUAUUUUCAUACUAUUGUAUUUAAAAACUUUUUAAUCCCCAAAGAAAUGGGUUUGUCUGCCUUUCGUGGGAUGUGAACUGGCGGGAAGAAGAAGUCGGGAGUUUUUUUAUUCAGGAUAUUUUUAGGUAAUCUGCGACGAGAUGAGGUGAAUGGUCCUGGCGGGAAGGGAGAGGAGCCCUUGUCCGAAAGGGACAAACCCAAUGGCUCUGUAAAGGCCGGGCCUGAGCGGGGAGGCAGCUGGUCCGAAGGCCAGUCUGGGGCCAGGGGCACGUGGGUCCAGCUGCUUGGCUUUCUGCUGCCAGUUUAGAGGUCUUAGUUAAACGUGGCCAAGAGCAGAGUCUAGAGGUCUGUGUCUAGAGCAGCUGAAACCAUCGAAACCAGCCCUGUGUUCACUGCCUCCAGUGCAAGGUAGAGCCUUUGGAACCAGCUGCUGGACCAGCCCCAGGAACUCCUCUCGGGCCGCCGUCUGUCUGUCGUCUUGGUGUUGUCCCCCUGUUUAGCUUGCACAACAGUCUGAGGAGCGCCUGCCCGACCGGGCGAUCCUGUUUUUCACGGCCUCAAAGCGGCAGGGCAGCCAGAGAUGGCGCGGGUCGAGGUGCGAGAGCUCGCUGUCUGCAUCCACGGGCCGGGGAGAUGCUUCGAAGCCUGGGUCCCCUCCCUGGGGAGUGGCCCUCACUCCUCAGCAUGGCCCCAGGCCCCUGUAGCUUUGGGAGUCUGCUGACCACAGCGGAGUGGGUUGGCCUGAGCACUUGCUCUGCUGUGGGAACAGCAUGGUGGGGUGGCCCGUGUUUUGUCGUAGCCCAGAGGCAGCCACAGAAGUUAAGGAACGGAAAACUGCCCGCUCAGGUGCAAGCUAGAAGUGAGACAGGUGCAGGGAGGCCACCUGGCCCAGAACCUUCCUUUUAGACCUACAUACAAACGUGCUGCCCUUACGUAGAUUGGGUGUGAAUUGUGGCCUGGGAGCCAGGCUGUUAAGCUGGGCCUGCCUUCCCUCUCACAAUCGCACCCUUCUGCCCCUGGGAGUCUGGAGCCAGGGGGCUGGAAGGAGCCAGGCCCUGUCGCUGCCCCCGGGUGUCUGCUCUGCGAGCAGGGCUGUCUGCAGCAGGAGGCGAGGCUGCAUCCAGAACUGACGUUGUGCCUGCUACAUGUCAGCCCCUCGUGGCAUUGCUGGCUCUCCAAACUUUUCCCUCCUGUUUUCAUUUUGUAUGAACAGCCUGUGCCUGCCGCUGUUUUCCUGCACCUUCCUGAGCCCAGCAUCAGAGCUGUGCUUUCAGUCCUGAGCUCCAGGCGCAGCAGGUGGGCAGCCACAGUCCCUGGAAGGUGGAAAGUCGGGCUUAUAUAGGCCUCGGACAAUCUGCUCAUCUCAAGGCCUGGCCCAGUGCCUGCUGGGCAGUGGGUUUGGGGAGCAAAGUGGUGGCUAGUGAGGGGUGGUUUUUCCUUGUAUCCUGAAUUUCAGUAAGGGCUUUAGUCUCUGAGCCACGGUCGUGGAGCUGGCUGACCAGGGGAUGGGUGUCUAAUCGCAGAGAGCCUUGUGGUGUGUGGGACUGGACAGCAUGGCCUCGCAGGUUUGGCCUUCCUUUUCCUUCGCGUGUGUGUGUGUGCGUGCACAUGAGCACGUGCUCAUGUGCACACACACACAGACACACACACACACAGUUUGUAUUCCCUGAAGUGUUUCCUGCAGUCACCGGGGGUUUUUCUGUGCUGCAUUGUCCCAAGAGACCAGCUGUAGAGGGCCGUGGUCAGAACCUUCUCCUGAGCUGACCUCCCUCUCUGAGAUGAGUCUCCUUACCACCUGCCCUGAGGUGCCUUACAAGGUACAGCUCCUUACCCGGCCCUAUGGCAAGUGUCACAGUGCUUGAGAAACCAUGGGACACCAACUGGAUAUUGUGUGCUCCCCAUCCGAUCUGUGCGGCUGUGGGCCUAGGCCAAGGCACCCGUGAUGGAAGCUUGUAAGUCAGGGUCAUGAACAAGUCUCUUGUACCUAAUGGAAAUAACCUGAUGAGGUAGAACUCUCGUGUCUGAAUGGAAGGAAUCAUUGUUAGCCUUAUUUCCUUUUGCUGUCAGUGGGGUGUUGACAAUGGCAAGGGGGGGAUGUUGGUGAGAUCUCGGGCAGCAGGGGCUUCUUGGUCUGCUCAGAAGACCUUCGAGGUAAAGGCCUGUGGCCCAUCAGUUAGCCCUCAGGCACGCUGGUGGCCUCCUGCCUCAAGCUUUAACUCACGCCCCUUCUUGGCAACAGAGAGUCCUAGGCGACUGUUGACUGUCAUGCCUUUAAAGGGAAAACCUGUAAAGGCUCAAAUCCUAGGCAAUCUAGUCCUGUAGCCUGUAGUCCAGAGUCCCCAUCGGAAGGCGCCCAGGAGCCCACUCUGCCGUCCAGACAACAACUCACUGGACUUUUUGCCGCCAAGCCAACAUAGAAGGCUCUGGGAACUUCUCAUUGGCCAAAACAGCCCCCUUAUAGGGUGCAGGGCUGGCUUUUAGAAGUUGCACACACUUCCAGCCAGGAGUGGAGAGCUCUCUGUUUCACCCUGUGAAACACUGGCAGCACUGAAGGGCUUUGCUCUGGGUGAGGGACUUCUGGUCCAACGGCCAUCAGCACCUUGAGCUCCUGGUUGGGUGGGUGUCAUUUGAGCUCUCUUUUCAUGAUGUUUGUUAGAACUCAGAACUGUGUGAGAAAACCAUGGCCUAUUUCCACUGCCCUUCCGGUGGGGGUGUUUCAUCAGUGGUGGUAAGAUUCACAGAAAGACAUUUUUGAAAUGAAAGGGAAGACGAUGUACUUACAUUGUAAAAUGGUUUACAAUAAAGUUUCACAUCUUAAUACAGUUUUUUUUUUUUUUUAAAAGAAACCAUCACAUGUGGUUGUUGGUUGUGUGUUCUUUAGAGCUAAAACAGCUU